Rhodamnia argentea is the source of this 82-nucleotide long non-coding RNA. RefSeq lists it as uncharacterized. NCBI's taxonomy places the organism in Eukaryota, Viridiplantae, Streptophyta, Magnoliopsida, Myrtales, Myrtaceae. The record is from RefSeq and is a predicted model, not a curated record. The transcript has 3 exons.
GAUCUGCUUACCAUCGCACACCCCCGUUACUCUUUAGGAGGCGUCCGUCCCGGAUAAACUAACCACCUCGCAGUGUCUCGCC